Molecule: transfer RNA, 77 nt
Filed under: Klebsiella pneumoniae
Lineage: Bacteria; Pseudomonadati; Pseudomonadota; Gammaproteobacteria; Enterobacterales; Enterobacteriaceae
Also listed under: 3 other names
Description: tRNA-Val
Rfam family: tRNA
About the family: Transfer RNA (tRNA) molecules are approximately 80 nucleotides in length. Their secondary structure includes four short double-helical elements and three loops (D, anti-codon, and T loops). Further hydrogen bonds mediate the characteristic L-shaped molecular structure. tRNAs have two regions of fundamental functional importance: the anti-codon, which is responsible for specific mRNA codon recognition, and the 3' end, to which the tRNAs corresponding amino acid is attached (by aminoacyl-tRNA synthetases). tRNAs cope with the degeneracy of the genetic code in two manners: having more than one tRNA (with a specific anti-codon) for a particular amino acid; and 'wobble' base-pairing, i.e. permitting non-standard base-pairing at the 3rd anti-codon position.
Source: RNAcentral
GCGUCUGUAGCUCAGUUGGUUAGAGCACCACCUUGACAUGGUGGGGGUCGUUGGUUCGAGUCCAUUCAGACGCACCA